RNAcentral lists this ribosomal RNA (2892 nucleotides) under Klebsiella pneumoniae. RNAcentral's name for it is "bacterial LSU rRNA". It matches the Rfam family "Bacterial large subunit ribosomal RNA". Lineage: Bacteria; Pseudomonadati; Pseudomonadota; Gammaproteobacteria; Enterobacterales; Enterobacteriaceae. The record is from RNAcentral.
GGGUUGUGAGGUUAAGCGACUAAGCGUACACGGUGGAUGCCCUGGCAGUCAGAGGCGAUGAAGGACGUGCUAAUCUGCGAAAAGCGUCGGUAAGGUGAUAUGAACCGUUAUAACCGGCGAUGUCCGAAUGGGGAAACCCAGUGCAAUUCGUUGCACUAUCGUUAACUGAAUACAUAGGUUAACGAGGCGAACCGGGGGAACUGAAACAUCUAAGUACCCCGAGGAAAAGAAAUCAACCGAGAUUCCCCCAGUAGCGGCGAGCGAACGGGGAGCAGCCCAGAGUCUGAAUCAGCUUGUGUGUUAGUGGAACGGUCUGGAAAGUCCGACGGUACAGGGUGAUAGUCCCGUACACCAAAAUGCACAGGCUGUGAACUCGAAGAGUAGGGCGGGACACGUGGUAUCCUGUCUGAAUAUGGGGGGACCAUCCUCCAAGGCUAAAUACUCCUGACUGACCGAUAGUGAACCAGUACCGUGAGGGAAAGGCGAAAAGAACCCCGGCGAGGGGAGUGAAAAAGAACCUGAAACCGUGUACGUACAAGCAGUGGGAGCACCUUCGGGUGUGACUGCGUACCUUUUGUAUAAUGGGUCAGCGACUUAUAUUCUGUAGCAAGGUUAACCGUAUAGGGGAGCCGCAGGGAAACCGAGUCUUAACUGGGCGUUAAGUUGCAGGGUAUAGACCCGAAACCCGGUGAUCUAGCCAUGGGCAGGUUGAAGGUUGGGUAACACUAACUGGAGGACCGAACCGACUAAUGUUGAAAAAUUAGCGGAUGACUUGUGGCUGGGGGUGAAAGGCCAAUCAAACCGGGAGAUAGCUGGUUCUCCCCGAAAGCUAUUUAGGUAGCGCCUCGUGAACUCAUCUUCGGGGGUAGAGCACUGUUUCGGCUAGGGGGUCAUCCCGACUUACCAACCCGAUGCAAACUACGAAUACCGAAGAAUGUUAUCACGGGAGACACACGGCGGGUGCUAACGUCCGUCGUGAAGAGGGAAACAACCCAGACCGCCAGCUAAGGUCCCAAAGUCAUGGUUAAGUGGGAAACGAUGUGGGAAGGCACAGACAGCCAGGAUGUUGGCUUAGAAGCAGCCAUCAUUUAAAGAAAGCGUAAUAGCUCACUGGUCGAGUCGGCCUGCGCGGAAGAUGUAACGGGGCUAAACCAUGCACCGAAGCUGCGGCAGCGACACUAUGUGUUGUUGGGUAGGGGAGCGUUCUGUAAGCCUGCGAAGGUGUGCUGUGAGGCAUGCUGGAGGUAUCAGAAGUGCGAAUGCUGACAUAAGUAACGAUAAAGCGGGUGAAAAGCCCGCUCGCCGGAAGACCAAGGGUUCCUGUCCAACGUUAAUCGGGGCAGGGUGAGUCGACCCCUAAGGCGAGGCCGAAAGGCGUAGUCGAUGGGAAACAGGUUAAUAUUCCUGUACUUGGUGUUACUGCGAAGGGGGGACGGAGAAGGCUAUGUUAGCCGGGCGACGGUUGUCCCGGUUUAAGCAUGUAGGCUGGUUGUCCAGGCAAAUCCGGAUAAUCAAGGCUGAGGUGUGAUGACGAGGCACUACGGUGCUGAAGUAACAAAUGCCCUGCUUCCAGGAAAAGCCUCUAAGCAUCAGGUAACAUCAAAUCGUACCCCAAACCGACACAGGUGGUCAGGUAGAGAAUACCAAGGCGCUUGAGAGAACUCGGGUGAAGGAACUAGGCAAAAUGGUGCCGUAACUUCGGGAGAAGGCACGCUGGUGUGUAGGUGAAGUCCCUGCGGAUGGAGCUGAGACCAGUCGAAGAUACCAGCUGGCUGCAACUGUUUAUUAAAAACACAGCACUGUGCAAACACGAAAGUGGACGUAUACGGUGUGACGCCUGCCCGGUGCCGGAAGGUUAAUUGAUGGGGUUAUCCGUAAGGAGAAGCUCUUGAUCGAAGCCCCGGUAAACGGCGGCCGUAACUAUAACGGUCCUAAGGUAGCGAAAUUCCUUGUCGGGUAAGUUCCGACCUGCACGAAUGGCGUAAUGAUGGCCAGGCUGUCUCCACCCGAGACUCAGUGAAAUUGAACUCGCUGUGAAGAUGCAGUGUACCCGCGGCAAGACGGAAAGACCCCGUGAACCUUUACUAUAGCUUGACACUGAACAUUGAGCCUUGAUGUGUAGGAUAGGUGGGAGGCUUUGAAGCGUGGACGCCAGUCUGCGUGGAGCCAACCUUGAAAUACCACCCUUUAAUGUUUGAUGUUCUAACGUUGGCCCCUGACCGGGGUUGCGGACAGUGUCUGGUGGGUAGUUUGACUGGGGCGGUCUCCUCCCAAAGCGUAACGGAGGAGCACGAAGGUUAGCUAAUCCUGGUCGGACAUCAGGAGGUUAGUGCAAUGGCAUAAGCUAGCUUGACUGCGAGCGUGACGGCGCGAGCAGGUGCGAAAGCAGGUCAUAGUGAUCCGGUGGUUCUGAAUGGAAGGGCCAUCGCUCAACGGAUAAAAGGUACUCCGGGGAUAACAGGCUGAUACCGCCCAAGAGUUCAUAUCGACGGCGGUGUUUGGCACCUCGAUGUCGGCUCAUCACAUCCUGGGGCUGAAGUAGGUCCCAAGGGUAUGGCUGUUCGCCAUUUAAAGUGGUACGCGAGCUGGGUUUAGAACGUCGUGAGACAGUUCGGUCCCUAUCUGCCGUGGGCGCUGGAGAAUUGAGGGGGGCUGCUCCUAGUACGAGAGGACCGGAGUGGACGCAUCACUGGUGUUCGGGUUGUCAUGCCAAUGGCACUGCCCGGUAGCUAAAUGCGGAAGAGAUAAGUGCUGAAAGCAUCUAAGCACGAAACUUGCCCCGAGAUGAGUUCUCCCUGAGACUUUAAGUCUCCUGAAGGAACGUUAAAGACGAUGACGUUGAUAGGCCGGGUGUGUAAGCGCAGCGAUGCGUUGAGCUAACCGGUACUAAUG